RNAcentral lists this ribosomal RNA (374 nucleotides) under uncultured bacterium. Its description in RNAcentral is "bacterial SSU rRNA". It matches the Rfam family "Bacterial small subunit ribosomal RNA", at positions 28 to 399 of the family's 1533-position model. The record is from RNAcentral.
GACGAACGCUGGCGGCGUGCUUAACACAUGCAAGUCGAGCGGUAAGGCCCUUUCGGGGGUACACGAGCGGCGAACGGGUGAGUAACACGUGGGUGACCUGCCCUCAGCUCUGGGAUAAGCCUGGGAAACUGGGUCUAAUACCGGAUAUGACUCCAUGACGCAUGUUGUGGGGUGGAAAGCCUUGUGCGGCUGAGGAUGGGCCCGCGGCCUAUCAGCUUGUUGGUGGGGGGAUGGCCUACCAAGGCGACGACGGGUAGCCGGCCUGAGAGGGCGACCGGCCACACUGGGACUGAGACACGGCCCAGACUCCUACGGGAGGCAGCAGGUGGGGAAUUCUUGCGCAAGUGGGACGAAAGCCUGACGCAGCGACGCCG